This 425-nucleotide ribosomal RNA is filed under the name uncultured bacterium. RNAcentral describes it as "partial 16S ribosomal RNA". It matches the Rfam family "Bacterial small subunit ribosomal RNA", at positions 354 to 796 of the family's 1533-position model. The record is from RNAcentral.
GUGGGGAAUCUUAGACAAUGGGCGCAAGCCUGAUCUAGCCAUGCCGCGUGAGCGAUGAAGGCCUUAGGGUUGUAAAGCUCUUUCGUGGGGGAAGAUAAUGACUGUACCCCAAGAAGAAGCCCCGGCUAACUCCGUGCCAGCAGCCGCGGUAAUACGGAGGGGGCUAGCGUUGUUCGGAAUUACUGGGCGUAAAGCGCACGUAGGCGGACCAGAAAGUCAGAGGUGAAAGCCCGGGGCUCAACCCCGGAACUGCCUUUGAAGCUCCUGGUCUUGAGGUCGAGAGAGGUGGGUGGAAUUCCGAGUGUAGAGGUGAAAUUCGUAGAUAUUCGGAGGAACACCAGUGGCGAAGGCGGCCCACUGGCUCGAUACUGACGCUGAGGUGCGAAAGCGUGGGGAGCAAACAGGAUUAGAAACCCGAGUAGUCC